RNAcentral lists this transfer RNA (72 nucleotides) under Rivularia sp. PCC 7116. RNAcentral describes it as "tRNA-Thr (TGT) (tRNA-Thr-TGT-1-1)". It matches the Rfam family "tRNA". Rfam says of the family: Transfer RNA (tRNA) molecules are approximately 80 nucleotides in length. Their secondary structure includes four short double-helical elements and three loops (D, anti-codon, and T loops). RNAcentral also lists the same sequence under 22 other names. Lineage: Bacteria; Bacillati; Cyanobacteriota; Cyanophyceae; Nostocales; Rivulariaceae. The record is from Rfam by way of RNAcentral.
GCCAGCAUGGCUCAGUGGUAGAGCAACGCACUUGUAAUGCGUAGGUCGUCGGUUCAAAUCCGACUGCUGGCU